GACGAACGCUGGCGGCGUGCUUAACACAUGCAAGUCGAACGGAAAGGCCCUGCUUGCAGGGUGCUCGAGUGGCGAACGGGUGAGUAACACGUGGGUGAUCUGCCCCUUAUUUUGGGAUAAGCCUGGGAAACUGGGUCUAAUACUGGAUAGGACCAUGCUGUAGGUGGUGUGGUGGAAAGAUUAGUUUCGGUAAGGGAUGAGCUCGCGGCCUAUCAGCUUGUUGGUGGGUAAUGGCCUACCAAGGCGUCGACGGGUAGCCGGCCUGAGAGGGUGGACGGCCACAUUGGGACUGAGAUACGGCCCAGACUCCUACGGGAGGCAGCAGUGGGGAAUAUUGCACAAUGGGCGCAAGCCUGAUGCAGCGACGCCGCGUGGGGGAUGACGGCCUUCGGGUUGUAAACUCCUUUCAGCCAUGACGAAGCCCUUGUGGUGACGGUAGUGGUAGAAGAAGCACCGGCUAACUACGUG
This 468-nucleotide ribosomal RNA is filed under the name uncultured bacterium. RNAcentral describes it as "partial 16S ribosomal RNA". It matches the Rfam family "Bacterial small subunit ribosomal RNA", at positions 28 to 507 of the family's 1533-position model. The record is from RNAcentral.